This 451-nucleotide ribosomal RNA is filed under the name uncultured bacterium. RNAcentral's name for it is "bacterial SSU rRNA". It matches the Rfam family "Bacterial small subunit ribosomal RNA", at positions 354 to 796 of the family's 1533-position model. The record is from RNAcentral.
GUGGGGAAUUUUUCGCAAUGGGCGCAAGCCUGACGAAGCAACGCCGCGUGGAGGAUGAAGGCCUUCGGGUCGUAAACUCCUGUCGACUGGGACGAAAGCAGUCCGGGCUAAUAUCCCGGGCUGUUGACUGUACCGGUGGAGGAAGCCACGGCUAACUCUGUGCCAGCAGCCGCGGUAAUACAGAGGUGGCAAGCGUUGUUCGGAAUUACUGGGCGUAAAGGGCGCGUAGGCGGCUCGACAAGUCCCGCGUGAAAUCCCCCGGCUCAACUGGGGAACUGCGCGGGAAACUGUCGGACUUGAGUUCGGGAGAGGGAAGCGGAAUUCCGGGUGUAGCGGUGAAAUGCGUAGAUAUCCGGAGGAACACCGGUGGCGAAGGCGGCUUCCUGGACCGACACUGACGCUGAGGCGCGAAAGCUAGGGGAGCAAACGGGAUUAGAUACCCCGGUAGUCC